CUUAGUUGUGUUACUUAUGUUCUUCAAGUUGUUCGUGGAUGCUAACUUAUGGUUCUAGCGGAUAUUUACAUCUUGAGAACAUGGUAGUUCAAUUGAGUGGGAGCGUUGAUCAUAGAUAUGAAAUCUAUAGCUUCUACAAGUAUUUAGAAGUGAAACGAGAUGAUUUCCUUUGAGCUUGGCUUGAUAGAGAUAAAUGAUUGAAAAUUUUCAUAAUCUUGUUAUUGAGUCUACUUGAAAAUUACUCAUAUUCUAGAGAUUGACUUGUUUAACUUUUAUUUUUCGUUUUAGUGUUUUACUCAAGGAUGAGUAAGUGUUUAGUUUAGGUUGUGGUAUUUUGCACGCAAGUAUACAUAUCGUAAACAAGUAAUAGAGUCACAAAGAGUGAGGUCGAUCCCACAAGGAUUGUAGUUAAGUACUUUAAAAGUAAACAUUUAUUUCUAUUUGGUUAUGUCAAAAUUAAGAGAAAAUUAAAUUUAAAACACUAAUGAAACAGUGAAAUAAGAAGUAAAUAAAUCAAAAAAGAAAUUAACGAUGAUUAAAGUUAGGGUUUCGAUUUCAAUUGUAUUGAUUAUGGCCUAAUAUGUAGGGCUGUUCACAAAGUAUCCAAUCAAAUCCAAUUCGCACGAUCCAAUCCAAUCCAAUCUGCAAAAUGCAGAUAUCCGCACUUGCGCGGAUUGGAUUGGAUUGAAAAAUCUGAAAUCAGCGGAUUGGAUGUUGUUUGACCUCAAAAAAUAACCGAUCCAAUUUAAUCCGCACUUAAUUAUAUAUAUUUCUAAAAAUUAUAUUAUAUAUAAUUUAUAUUAAUUUUCUUAUAAUAUUAAAAAAAAAAUAAAGACAAUUUCUAAACCUAAACACUUAUAAUCGUUUCUCCUCCUAGUUAAAAUUUCCUACCAUCCGUCAAGACACCUAAACCAAAACGUAAAAAAAUAUCACUUCUUCUCAGUCGACGGUCGACUCCCACCCAUGCUCUUCCGACCAGUCAUCUUCUCAGUCGACGAUUGUCUCCCUCCCAUGCCCUUCCGAUCGACCAGUCCGUCUUCUCAGUCGACGAUCGACUCCCACCCACCCCCUUGCUGCCUUCACUAACCAGUCCAUCUCCUCAGCCAACAACGAUCCUUUUAACUCGUCUUCAGUCGAUGGCCAUCUCUUCAGUCGACGGUCGUCUUUUCAGUCAAAGGAUUUGGAAGAUGGAACAUGGUUUUUUUUUCCAUAUUGUUGCUGGUUGUUGGAUUUGGAGAUGGAACAUGGUUAUUUUUUUUUUUUUAUUUCAUAAUGUUGCACUGUUGCUGCUCGUUCUUGGAUUUAGAAGAUGAAAUAUAGUUGUUUUUUUUUACUAUUAUCAGUUAUGGAAGUCUUAUGUGCUGUUGGAGAUUGAGAAACAGUAGUUUGUUUGUUAAAAUUUUAGUUGUGUUA
Long non-coding RNA from Cannabis sativa, 1413 nucleotides. RefSeq lists it as uncharacterized. Lineage: Eukaryota; Viridiplantae; Streptophyta; Magnoliopsida; Rosales; Cannabaceae. The record is from RefSeq and is a predicted model, not a curated record. The transcript is spliced from 2 exons.